CAUCUAUUCAACUGGUCAGGAGAACCACCAUGAUCAGAUGAGAAGAGAAUGAGCCAUGUGUUUCCUGAAACAUCCAGUGGCCUCACCGGAGAAUCUGCAAGAGCCGGUAAACCCAGAAGCUUGGCCGUCCAUUCCUGGAAGCAGACAUUGUGUCUUCGUCCACCAAGCCCCUGGCUCUCAACACUCACUGUGGUGGCAAGAACAUGGCACCUUGACCCUACACAGUUCUUCCAUUUUUCAGAAGCAGCUCCAGACCCUUGUCCCCAGGUUUUGACCCCACCCAGACCUUUGCCUGGGACGGAAAGCUGCUUCAUUUCAGGAGACACCUGAAGUACC
Molecule: long non-coding RNA, 336 nt
Filed under: Homo sapiens (human)
Lineage: Eukaryota; Metazoa; Chordata; Mammalia; Primates; Hominidae
Description: non-protein coding LINC01936:16
Source: RNAcentral